This 495-nucleotide ribosomal RNA is filed under the name uncultured bacterium. Its description in RNAcentral is "partial 16S ribosomal RNA". It matches the Rfam family "Bacterial small subunit ribosomal RNA", at positions 28 to 507 of the family's 1533-position model. The record is from RNAcentral.
GACGAACGCUGGCGGCGUGCCUAAUACAUGCAAGUCGAACGCUGAAGGAGGAGCUUGCUUCUCUGGAUGAGUUGCGCACGGGUGAGUAACGCGUAGGUAACCUGCCUGGUAGCGGGGGAUGACUAUUGGAAACGAUAGCUAAUACCGCAUAAUAGUAGAUGUCGCAUGACAUUUGCUUGAAAGUUGCAAUUGCAUCACUACCAGAUGGUCCUGCGUUGUAUUAGCUAGUUGGUGCGGUAACGGCUCACCAAGGCAACGAUACAUAGCCGACCUGAGAGGGUGGUCGGCCACACUGGGACGUGGACACGGCCCAGACGCCUGCGGGAGGCAGCAGAAGGGAAUCGUCGGCAACGGAGGGAAGUCUUGCCGAGCAACGCCGCGCGAGUGGAGAAGGGUCUCGGAUCGGAAAGAUCGGUUGUAAGUGAAGAACGAGUGUGAGAGUGGAAAGUUCACACUGUGACGGUACCUAACCAGAAAGGGACGGCUAACUACGUG